UUGCUGCUUCGCUGACGAGUGGCGGACGGGUGAGUAAUGUCUGGGAAACUGCCUGAUGGAGGGGGAUAACUACUGGAAACGGUAGCUAAUACCGCAUAACGUCGCAAGACCAAAGAGGGGGACCUUCGGGCCUCUUGCCAUCGGAUGUGCCCAGAUGGGAUUAGCUAGUAGGUGGGGUAACGGCUCACCUAGGCGACGAUCCCUAGCUGGUCUGAGAGGAUGACCAGCCACACUGGAACUGAGACACGGUCCAGACUCCUACGGGAGGCAGCAGUGGGGAAUAUUGCACAAUGGGCGCAAGCCUGAUGCAGCCAUGCCGCGUGUAUGAAGAAGGCCUUCGGGUUGUAAAGUACUUUCAGCGGGGAGGAAGGGAGUAAAGUUAAUACCUUUACUCAUUGACGUUACCCGCAGAAGAAGCACCGGCUAAGUCCGUGCCAGCAGCCGCGGUAAUACGGAGGGUGCAAGCGUUAAUCGGAAUUACUGGGCGUAAAGCGCACGCAGGCGGUUUGUUAAGUCAGAUGUGAAAUCCCCGGGCUCAACCUGGGAACUGCAUCUGAUACUGGCAAGCUUGAGUCUCGUAGAGGGGGGUAGAAUUCCA
This 598-nucleotide ribosomal RNA is filed under the name Enterobacteriaceae bacterium HGH0044. RNAcentral describes it as "bacterial SSU rRNA". It matches the Rfam family "Bacterial small subunit ribosomal RNA", at positions 80 to 671 of the family's 1533-position model. The record is from RNAcentral. Lineage: Bacteria; Pseudomonadati; Pseudomonadota; Gammaproteobacteria; Enterobacterales; Enterobacteriaceae.